CACGGGGGGAGCAAGCGUUGUUCGGAAUCACUGGGCGUAAAGGGCGUGCAGGCGGUCAGGUAAGUGGGAUGUGAAAUGCCCCGGCUCACCCGGGGACCGGCAUCUCAUACUGCUUGGCUUGAGUACGGGAGAGGAUGUGGGAAUUCCUGGUGUAGCGGUGAAAUGCGUAGAUAUCUGGAGGAACACCGGUGGCGAAGGCAGCUCGCUGGGACGUUACUGACGCUGAGACGCGAAAGCGUGGGGAGCAAACAGG
Molecule: ribosomal RNA, 253 nt
Filed under: uncultured bacterium
Lineage: Bacteria
Description: partial 16S ribosomal RNA
Rfam family: Bacterial small subunit ribosomal RNA
Source: RNAcentral